CGGGGGGGGUGCCAAUACAUGCAGUCGAGCGAACAGAAAAGGAGCUUGCUCCUUUGACGUUAGCGGCGGACGGGUGAGUAACACGUGGGCAACCUACCCUAUAGUUUGGGAUAACUCCGGGAAACCGGGGCUAAUACCGAAUAAUCUCUUUUGCUUCAUGGUGAAAGACUGAAAGACGGUUUCGGCUGUCGCUAUAGGAUGGGCCCGCGGCGCAUUAGCUAGUUGGUGAGGUAACGGCUCACCAAGGCGACGAUGCGUAGCCGACCUGAGAGGGUGAUCGGCCACACUGGGACUGAGACACGGCCCAGACUCCUACGGGAGGCAGCAGUAGGGAAUCUUCCACAAUGGGCGAAAGCCUGAUGGAGCAACGCCGCGUGAGUGAAGAAGGUUUUCGGAUCGUAAAACUCUGUUGUAAGGGAAGAACAAGUACAGUAGUAACUGGCUGUACCUUGACGGUACCUUAUUAGAAAGCCACGGCUAACUACGUGCCAGCAGCCGCGGUAAUACGUAGGUGGCAAGCGUUGUCCGGAAUUAUUGGGCGUAAAGCGCGCGCAGGCGGUCCUUUAAGUCUGAUGUGAAAGCCCACGGCUCAACCGUGGAGGGUCAUUGGAAACUGGGGGACUUGAGUGCAGAAGAGGAAAGUGGAAUUCCAAGUGUAGCGGUGAAAUGCGUAGAGAUUUGGAGGAACACCAGUGGCGAAGGCGACUUUCUGGUCUGUAACUGACGCUGAGGCGCGAAAGCGUGGGGAGCAAACAGGAUUAGAUACCCUGGUAGUCCACGCCGUAAACGAUGAGUGCUAAGUGUUAGGGGGUUUCCGCCCCUUAGUGCUGCAGCUAACGCAUUAAGCACUCCGCCUGGGGAGUACGGUCGCAAGACUGAACUCAAGGAAUUGACGGGGGCCCGCACAAGCGGAGGAGCAUGUGGUUUAAUUCGAAGCAACGCGAAGAAACUUACCUUACUUGACAUCCCGUUGACCACUGUAGAGAUAUAGUUGCCCCUCGGGGCACGGUGACGGACAGGCAUGUGCUCGUCAGCUCGUGGCGGGAGCUUUAGAUGUCCGGACAAGCGCA
RNAcentral lists this ribosomal RNA (1070 nucleotides) under Lysinibacillus boronitolerans. Its description in RNAcentral is "bacterial SSU rRNA". It matches the Rfam family "Bacterial small subunit ribosomal RNA", at positions 36 to 1100 of the family's 1533-position model. The record is from RNAcentral. Lineage: Bacteria; Bacillati; Bacillota; Bacilli; Caryophanales; Bacillaceae.